This 934-nucleotide ribosomal RNA is filed under the name uncultured bacterium. Its description in RNAcentral is "bacterial SSU rRNA". It matches the Rfam family "Bacterial small subunit ribosomal RNA", at positions 8 to 936 of the family's 1533-position model. The record is from RNAcentral.
GAGAGUUUGAUCCUGGCUCAGAUUGAACGCUGGCGGCAGGCCUAACACAUGCAAGUCGAGCGGUAGAGAGAAGCUUGCUUCUCUUGAGAGCGGCGGACGGGUGAGUAAUGCCUAGGAAUCUGCCUGGUAGUGGGGGAUAACGUUCGGAAACGGACGCUAAUACCGCAUACGUCCUACGGGAGAAAGCAGGGGACCUUCGGGCCUUGCGCUAUCAGAUGAGCCUAGGUCGGAUUAGCUAGUUGGUGGGGUAAUGGCUCACCAAGGCGACGAUCCGUAACUGGUCUGAGAGGAUGAUCAGUCACACUGGAACUGAGACACGGUCCAGACUCCUACGGGAGGCAGCAGUGGGGAAUAUUGGACAAUGGGCGAAAGCCUGAUCCAGCCAUGCCGCGUGUGUGAAGAAGGUCUUCGGAUUGUAAAGCACUUUAAGUUGGGAGGAAGGGCAGUAAAUUAAUACUUUACUGUUUUGACGUUACCGACAGAAUAAGCACCGGCUAACUCUGUGCCAGCAGCCGCGGUAAUACAGAGGGUGCAAGCGUUAAUCGGAAUUACUGGGCGUAAAGCGCGCGUAGGUGGUUAGUUAAGUUGGAUGUGAAAUCCCCGGGCUCAACCUGGGAACUGCAUUCAAAACUGACUGACUAGAGUAUGGUAGAGGGUGGUGGAAUUUCCUGUGUAGCGGUGAAAUGCGUAGAUAUAGGAAGGAACACCAGUGGCGAAGGCGACCACCUGGACUGAUACUGACACUGAGGUGCGAAAGCGUGGGGAGCAAACAGGAUUAGAUACCCUGGUAGUCCACGCCGUAAACGAUGUCAACUAGCCGUUGGGAGCCUUGAGCUCUUAGUGGCGCAGCUAACGCAUUAAGUUGACCGCCUGGGGAGUACGGCCGCNAGGUUAAAACUCAAUUGAAUUGACGGGGGCCCGCACAAGCGGUGGA